Molecule: microRNA precursor, 66 nt
Filed under: Capitella teleta
Lineage: Eukaryota; Metazoa; Annelida; Polychaeta; Capitellidae
Description: Cte-Mir-10-P1_pre stem-loop
Source: RNAcentral
UACCCUGUAGUUCCGGAUUUGUCUUGAAUCUCAGCAAAGCAAACAAAUUCGAUUCCUCGGGGUUUC